This 884-nucleotide ribosomal RNA is filed under the name uncultured bacterium. RNAcentral describes it as "bacterial SSU rRNA". It matches the Rfam family "Bacterial small subunit ribosomal RNA", at positions 8 to 916 of the family's 1533-position model. The record is from RNAcentral.
AGAGUUUGAUCCUGGCUCAGGAUGAACGCUGGCGGCGUGCCUAAUACAUGCAAGUCGAACGGGUGUAGCAAUACACUAGUGGCGAACGGGUGAGUAACACGUUGGUGACCUGCCCUAAAGAGGGGAAUACCACUUCGAAAGGAGUGACAAAACCGCAUAAGCUGAUGCUAGUUAGAGAGGCAUUAGUAAAAGAGCAAUCUACUUUAGGAGGGGCCUGCGGCCCAUCAGCUAGUUGGUGAGGUAAAAGCCCACCAAGGCGAAGACGGGUAGGGGACCUGAGAGGGUGAUCCCCCACAAUGGAACUGAAACACGGUCCAUACACCUGCGGGUGGCAGCAGUAGGGAAUAUUGCUUAAUGGGCGAAAGCCUGAAGCAGCAACGCCGCGUGAACGAAGAAGGCCUUCGGGUCGUAAAGUUCUUUUACGUGGGAUGAGGAAGGACAGUACCACGAGAAUAAGUCUCGGCUAACUACGUGCCAGCAGCCGCGGUAAAACGUAGGAGACGAGCGUUAUCCGGAUUUACUGGGCGUAAAGCGCGUGUAGGAGGCGCUACAAGUUGGAUGUGAAAGCUCCCGGCUUAACUGGGAGAGGUCGUUCAAGACUGUAGAGCUAGAGUGAGGCAGAGGUAGAUGGAACUCCGGGAGUAGUGGUGAAAUGCGUAGAUAUCCGGAAGAACUCCAGAGGCGAAAGCGAUCUACUGGACCUAAACUGACACUGAGACGCGAAAGCCAGGGUAGCAAACGGGAUUAGAGACCCCGGUAGUCCUGGCCGUAAACGAUGUAGACUGAGCGUUGGUUGGAUAAAACCGAUCAGUGCUGAAGCAAACGCGAUAAGUCUACCGCCUGGGGAGUACGGUCGCAAGAUUAAAACUCAAAGGAAUUGACGG